This 253-nucleotide ribosomal RNA is filed under the name uncultured bacterium. RNAcentral's name for it is "partial 16S ribosomal RNA". It matches the Rfam family "Bacterial small subunit ribosomal RNA", at positions 524 to 776 of the family's 1533-position model. The record is from RNAcentral.
GACAGAGGGUGCAAACGUUGUUCGGAUUUACUGGGCGUAAAGCGCGUGUAGGCGGCUUUGCAAGUCGGAUGUGAAAUCCCACGGCUCAACCGUGGAAGUGCAUCCGAAACUGCUUCGCUCGAGUCUCGGAGAGGAAGGUGGAAUGCUUGGUGUAGAGGUGAAAUUCGUAGAUAUCAAGCAGAACACCUGCGGCGAAGGCGGCCUUCUGGACGAUGACUGACGCUGAGACACGAAAGCGUGGGGAGCAAACAGG